GAUGAACGCUAGCUACAGGCUUAACACAUGCAAGUCGCGGGGUCUGUUUCUGCAGACGACCGGCGCACGGGUGAGUAACGCGUAUCCAACCUGCCCCUCUCUUUGGCAUAGCCUUUCGAAAGAGAGAUUAAUUCCGAAUAACGUAGUAACGUUGCCUGAUGAUACUACGAAAGCUCUGGCGGAGAGGGAUGGGGAUGCGUUCCAUUAGGUAGUAGGCGGGGUAACGGCCCACCUAGCCAACGAUGGAUAGGGGUUCUGAGAGGAAGGUCCCCCACACUGGUACUGAGACACGGACCAGACUCCUACGGGAGGCAGCAGUGAGGAAUAUUGGUCAAUGGGCGAGAGCCUGAACCAGCCAAGUCGCGUGAGGGAAGACGGUACUAAGUAUUGUAAACCUCUUUUGUCAGGGAACAAAACCUGCAUGUAUGCAGCAAAUGAGUGUACCUGAAGAAAAAGCAUCGGCUAACUCCGUG
RNAcentral lists this ribosomal RNA (473 nucleotides) under uncultured bacterium. RNAcentral's name for it is "bacterial SSU rRNA". It matches the Rfam family "Bacterial small subunit ribosomal RNA", at positions 28 to 507 of the family's 1533-position model. The record is from RNAcentral.